CUGCGCGUCAACGCUGAUGCGCACACUGCUUUCUCUUCGCCCUCUUGUUGCUCUGCGACUCUCUUUAUCGCGCGAACACAUACACAUGCACAAGUACAUUGCCGGUGCUCACGUGCAUCUCAUGACACGUUUUAUUCAUGUCACUACUCCUCUUUUUCACGCCAACACUGUCGGCGUGUGUGAGCUGACGUGCUUACACACACAGAUCAGGCCACUGACUUCUCUUGCCUCUUCCUCCUCCUCACCCACCAAUGGGCAGAUAUUUCUGCUUCGAUGUUUUCUUGAUUUCCGUGUUCUCUGUGGUGAGUGCCAGCAGCGCAGCCGCCAGGCCCCCCCCCCAUCGUUUUCAGCUCUUCUCCUUAUCAGAGUAGAGUCAAGGCAGGCGCUCACAACACCAUCGCCCCCUCGUUUUAUCCGUUUUUCUACUGCGCAUAAAUACGCUUCUGGCGGCAGAGCACAGGAGACCCUUGCGUAGAGCAGAAGGGCUGCGGGUACAGCGGCGGGCGUGCCGCGCACUCGAUCUCUGACUCUCUUCACGUGUCUUUUGAUAGCGUUUGCGGGGGGGGGAAGGUGCCUGCCGCUGGAUCGCAGUACUUGACACAGUACUCUGCACUUCACUGCUCCUCAUCCCCUUUCCUUCUCGUCUUCUUUCCGCUAGAGCUGCAACGCUCUCCUGACGGGGGAGGGGACGGCACACCGCGCAGCGCGUGGUAUUUCAGGGGUCUGCACCCCAUUGUGUGGGGAGGCGAGGCAGCCUCCACUACCCCUGCCAAUGCACAAGCACCUCUGGUGGUGACAGGGUCAGGUGCCUGCGACGAAGGGAGGUCAGAGCGAUGCAUGGCUGCUGAUGCCGGCGCUCAGGCCCUGGAUGGCGUUGCGUGGGGGCGACCUGCGACGGUGAACGCGUCUGUGCAGCCCAUAUGGCCAGGCAGCGUGUGAGCGUGACUGGAGUGCUGCACCUCAUGCGCCCCUCGCUGGCCACUGGUGUGGGGAGCCUGAGCCGCCCCGCGGCGGGAUGCACGAGGUGGCGACCGGCAUAGUGGGGGCAACUGUGGUGCUGACUGCGAGGCGGCGGGUGGGUAGAGCUUGAGGGCAGGGGGCCGUGCUCGGAUGGCUGGGUCGGCGCACGACUGUGAUGCGUGUCGAGUGCUGCUUCGCGCGACGCGAUGGGCCUGCGACAUGCCGGGCGAGUAGGGUGGGCCUGCACUCAUGUUGUCUAGCAGUGCAUGAAGGCAUAG
Molecule: unclassified non-coding RNA, 1238 nt
Filed under: Leishmania donovani
Lineage: Eukaryota; Euglenozoa; Kinetoplastea; Trypanosomatida; Trypanosomatidae
Description: gene:unknown
Source: RNAcentral